GAUUUAAAGUAAUUUAUUAAUUUUUAAGUGAUUAAAUUAUAGUAUUAAAAAUAAUUAUAAAAUUUAAUGUUUUAGUAUUGUAUAAAGAAAAAAUAUUAUUAAUAAUAGUAAAAUAGUAUUGUAAAAGAAAAUUGAAAUAAAUUGAAAAAUAUUAAUUUAUAAAGAAAAUUUAAUUUAUUGUACCUUGUGUAUCAGGGUUAAUUAAAUAAAAAAUAAAAAUUUAUUUUUCUCGAUUUUAAAAGAGUUAAUAAAUUAUUAAAGUUAUUGUAAUAAAAUUAUUUUYAAUAAUUUAUUAGAAAUGAAAUGUUAUUCGUUUUUAAAGGUAUCUAGUUUUUUUAGAAAUAAAUUUAAUUUAGAGGAUUUAAAUUUAUUUAAUUUUUUAAUAAUUGAAUGAUUUAAAUUUUUAAUAUUUUACGGGAUAAGCUGUAAAAUAAAAUUCUAUAAAUUUAAAAUAAUUAAUAAAAUAUAUAUGCUUAGAAUUAGCAAUUAUUAACAAAACUGUUAUAAAUUAUUUAAUUUAUAAAAUUAUUUAUUAUAAUUUUAGGUAUUUAUAAAAAAAUUUAUUUUAAUUUUAAAAAUAAAGAUAUAAUGAUUAAAUUAGUAUAUUUAUUUGUAAUAAUAAUAAUAGAUGAAAAGUUUAACAAAAGAAUUCGGCAAAAUAAUGUUCGCCUGUUUAACAAAAACAUGUCUUUUUGAAGUAAAUUUAAAGUCUGACCUGCCCACUGAAAUUUUAAAUGGCCGCAGUAUUCUAACUGUGCAAAGGUAGCAUAAUCAUUAGUCUUUUAAUUGAAGGCUGGAAUGAAUGGUUGGACGAAAUAUUAACUGUUUCUGAUAAAUUUAUUAUAGAAUUUUAUUUUUUAGUCAAAAAGCUAAAAUUUAUUUAAAAGACGAGAAGACCCUAUAAAUCUUUAUAUUUAAUUUAUUUUAAUUAUAAAGAUUAAUUUUAUUAUAAUAAAAUUAAAUAUUUUAUUGGGGUGAUAUUUAAAUUUAAAAAACUUUAAAUUAAUUAAACAUUAAUUUAUGAAUAAUUGAUCCAAUUAUAUUGAUUAAAAAUUUAAGUUACUUUAGGGAUAACAGCGUAAUUUUUUUGGAGAGUUCAUAUCGAUAAAAAAGAUUGCGACCUCGAUGUUGGAUUAAGAGAUAAAUUUGGGCGUAGCCGUUCAAAAGUUAAGUCUGUUCGACUUUUAAAUUCUUACAUGAUCUGAGUUCAAACCGGCGUAAGCCAGGUUGGUUUCUAUCUUUAAUUAACUAAUAUAUUUUAGUACGAAAGGACCAUAUAUUUAAAUAAUAAUAUUUUAUAUAAUGAAUUUUAUUAAUUAAUUAU
This 1324-nucleotide ribosomal RNA is filed under the name Homoneura picta. Its description in RNAcentral is "16S ribosomal RNA". Lineage: Eukaryota; Metazoa; Arthropoda; Insecta; Diptera; Lauxaniidae. The record is from RNAcentral.